GCCUACGGGGGGCAGCAGUGGGGAAUAUUGCGCAAUGGGCGGAAGCCUGACGCAGCGACGCCGCGUGAGGGAUGAAGGUCUUCGGAUCGUAAACCUCUGUCAGCAGGGAAGAACGGUCACUGUGCUAAUCAGCAGUGAAUUGACGGUACCUGCAAAGGAAGCACCGGCUAACUCCGUGCCAGCAGCCGCGGUAAUACGGAGGGUGCGAGCGUUAAUCGGAAUUACUGGGCGUAAAGCGCUCGUAGGCGGUAUGUCAAGUCAAGGGUGAAAUCCCCGCGCUCAACGUGGGAACUGCCAUUGAAACU
This 305-nucleotide ribosomal RNA is filed under the name uncultured bacterium. RNAcentral's name for it is "bacterial SSU rRNA". It matches the Rfam family "Bacterial small subunit ribosomal RNA", at positions 337 to 634 of the family's 1533-position model. The record is from RNAcentral.